Molecule: ribosomal RNA, 448 nt
Filed under: uncultured bacterium
Lineage: Bacteria
Description: bacterial SSU rRNA
Rfam family: Bacterial small subunit ribosomal RNA
Source: RNAcentral
GUCCAGACUCCUACGGGAGGCAGCAGUGGGGGAUAUUGCACAAUGGGGGGAACCCUGAUGCAGCGACGCCGCGUGGGUGAAGGAGUAUUUCGGUAUGUAAAGCCCUAUCGGCAGGGAAGAAGCAAGACGGUACCUGACUAAGAAGCCCCGGCUAACUACGUGCCAGCAGCCGCGGGAAUACGUAGGGGGCGAGCGUUAUCCGGAUUCACUGGGUGUAAAGGGAGCGUAGACGGCAUGGCAAGUCAGAUGUGAAAGCCCGGGGCUCAACCCCGGGACUGCAUUUGAAACUGUCAGGCUGGAGUGCAGGAGAGGUAAGUGGAAUUCCUAGUGUAGCGGUGAAAUGCGUAGAUAUUAGGAGGAACACCAGUGGCGAAGGCGGCUUACUGGACUGUAACUGACGUUGAGGCUCGAAAGCGUGGGGAGCAAACAGGAUUAGAUACCCGAGUAU